GUGUCAGCCGCCGCGGUAAUACGGGGGGUGCAAGCGUUAUUCGGAAUCAUUGGGCGUAAAGGGCGCGUAGGCGGCCCCUUAAGUCAGAUGUGAAAGCCCUCAGCUUAACUGAGGAAGUGCAUUUGAAACUAAGGGGCUUGAGUAUGGGAGAGGGAAGCGGAAUUCCUGGUGUAGCGGUGAAAUGCGUAGAUAUCAGGAGGAACACCGGUGGCGAAGGCGGCUUCCUGGACCAAUACUGACGCUGAGGCGCGAAGGCGUGGGGAGCAAACAGGAUUAGAUACCCCUGUAGUCC
This 292-nucleotide ribosomal RNA is filed under the name uncultured bacterium. Its description in RNAcentral is "partial 16S ribosomal RNA". It matches the Rfam family "Bacterial small subunit ribosomal RNA", at positions 505 to 796 of the family's 1533-position model. The record is from RNAcentral.